UUAAUUAUGGCUUUUUGUUGUUACUAGUUUUUACUUUUUGACACAAUCAUUAACAGUUUUUUGUGAAAACAAGUAAUAUUUUUCAUUUUAGUACAACACAUGUAAUAAUAGUUCUAAUAUUCCUCAUCUAAACCCAAAGACCUUUCAAGUAAAAAUAGGCCUGGAUUCGUAUGCUCUUGUGCAGUCAAAAUAAUGACUUUUGGAUCCAAUCUCUUCAUACGUUCUUUUUCAUCAAAUUAACUACUUGGAUUUCAUAAAAAAUUAAGGUAACAUUUAAUUAUGGUCCAUACCAGGCUCAUGUUAAGGACCGUUUGGGUUUAAAUGGGAACUUUGGGUUGCAUGUUAGCAUUUACUAAUAUGCAGGCCAAACCUAGCUUUUGGCAAAAUAUGUGACACUACAAUAUCUUUUUAAUAUCUGAAUUGUUGGAAGAAAAGAGGUUUUUGUGGCUAAUUAGUGAAAAAUAACUAAUGUUUUUCUUAUUUGUAAAUCCUGCUAAGCUGAUAUUUGGCCCAAAAGUUUACAUAGUGAAUAGUUUCCUGUUAUUUGACUUCACUAUUCAGUUUUCUAAUUAAACAUCUGUGUGCAAAAUUCUUGCACUGAGAUCUUUUUUCAGGCUCAAUUAAAGAUGUCCUAAAGUUCUUUAGCUAAUUUUACUAGCGGCAAGUAUAAAUAGUAAUACUGUACUAAAUUUUUUAAGAAGCUUUUAUUUUUUUCUGCAGGGGAGGAUUUGAACAAAACAGGACAAGAGGUUUCUUCAAAAUUCACAAUGUCCUGAUUCAUGAUCAUAUUGAAUUGGAAGAGGGUCUUGACUGAGGCUUGGUGGAAAAAUAUGACAUUUUCGUUAAAGACAAAAUUAAAUUGCAUAUCUGGGCUGCGUCCUUUUCUGUGGUCCCGUUUCUCCGUGACUCAUAAAAAACCUGUGGAGGAUCACGCCCCUACUGUAUGGUAUGUAUGAAAAUAACAUGUACCGAAGUUUGGAGGGCUCUGAUCAAAAGGGGACGUAGGGAUCCCCAUAGUUCGAUAACAUCAUUAGAGGGCUCUGUCGAUACCCUCUUCAUGUGAAUGUGUUGAACAUUGUCAAUAAUAAAUUUUCUCUAAUAAUUUUUAA
RNAcentral lists this long non-coding RNA (1109 nucleotides) under Daphnia magna. RNAcentral's name for it is "uncharacterized LOC123475827, transcript variant X3". Lineage: Eukaryota; Metazoa; Arthropoda; Branchiopoda; Diplostraca; Daphniidae. The record is from RNAcentral.